Molecule: long non-coding RNA, 2799 nt
Filed under: Eptatretus burgeri (inshore hagfish)
Lineage: Eukaryota; Metazoa; Chordata; Myxini; Myxiniformes; Myxinidae
Description: lncRNA (ENSEBUG00000017390.1)
Source: RNAcentral
ACACAAACACACACACACACACAUUGCUGGAAUUGUGUGUGUGUGUGUGUGUGUGUGUGUCCCCCCCCCCACACACACACACACACACACACACACACACACACACACACACACACACACACACACACACACACACACAUACUGCUGGAAUUGUGUGUGUGUGUGUGUGUGUGUGUGUGUGUGUGUAUGUGUAUAUAUAUAUAUAUAAACACACACACACAUUGCACAAGCCUUAUUCAACCAGCUAGUAUAAUCGCAGUCCACAUGAUUAACAGUAACUUGCCUCAGGCAUAAUAUGACACCGGCGUCUGCAUUCGUCAUCAGGACACCGAGCGUUCCACAUCAACCGUGAUGCAAUAAAUAUCGGACGAAAGCCAGAGGAUCCGGAAAAGCCAGAUAAGCGAAUCGUUUCCGAAUUAGAUUGUGGCAGUAGGAGGUGUGGUCGUGGUGCGGUUUGGAGGUCUGCCCGGUUUGCCACCCCGUCGUGGGUCUCCCCUUCCGUCGCAUCCUCUCACUACUGGCUUCAUGCAUCGAACGACCCUGGGUGGUGGUGCUUCAUGUGGGCGCAUCCCCACGCACAUUCACUCAUUUUGUGACCGUGGUGAUCGGUGUCUCGUUGUGGUUCCCAAACCAUUAAACUGAGAUGGAGUGCUGGAAGACCAAAGACUCUCAGCAACAUUCCCUGAGCCUGCUUGAAGGCUUGUUGAGAUUCUCACAGGAUGGAGGUAAAAAUUGCUUGCCCACCAACCAAUCGGAGAAAGACUACUAUUUGUCUACAAAAGUAACACAAAGCCAAGGCACCCAGACAGAUUUGACUUCUGAGCCUACAGAUGUUGAGUCAAAGGUCAAAGGCUCUCACACCUUUCCGAAGCCCAGAGGGUGUCAGCUGGCUUUGUGCAGUCCCUACGGACCUUUCGGAACAUGCCGUAGACAUCAAAUGGACAAGAACAUCCUGGCGGAGCGAUGCAAUGAUCUUGAAGCUGAACGCGCAGAGCUGAAAGCAGAGAACUCGCGCUUGCAGCUGGAACUGGUGAUAUCUGAAGCACAAUACGACUCGCUGCGUGUCCGGCACGAGACGAUGCGAGAACAGACUCUUGCCUUCCUCCUGCAGCAGAUGGACACAUUUCACAUUCAACGGGACUCACUCGUCUGAAGUUUUCGAUGCAACGUCUGGGAGAUUCACUUUGUCCGUAUUUCAGAAAAACAUAAAAACCGCUACGUGAGUAAACAUUGGAGGCUAAAACCUUCAACACGAAUAUAUUUAUUACAUUUUUCAAUGUGACAAGUAUGGAAAACAAGUUGGAAUUCUUGUGAUUUGCACAUUAGUAAUGCUGUAACAAAUUUCAUUGUGCAUGCCAAAUUUACUCCGCUGGUAAAAUCGGUGCAUUUACAACGUGAAUUGAAGUAAGAUUAUUGUUUCAAAAGGUUGGAGAAAAUGUACUUUUUUUGAUUGAUACUUCUCCUUCCAUUUCAAAAUGCAGACGACUAUGUUGGAAAGAUAAAUUCAAAUGCUCAAUUGAUGUGUUCAACAGACCAUUUUUUCAAUAAAUAUCAAUGUCAAACAAGAUUUGCAACAUUAACGUGCCGAAGGAAGGGAGUACUGUUUUUACUCUUUGUUUGUUUGUUUGUCUGGGCGAUAUAUCAGCCAUCGUUUGAGUGAGGAAGCUGAAAUUUGGAGAUAAAAGUGAAGAUGUGCUUUGUCAAAAACAGUAUUUUUAUUUUUUGAUUCAUAAAUUCAUUGUUUAAUUACUUAAUUAUUAUCGAUUUAUUAAUUCCUUAUUUAUUUUCUUUCUCAUCCGGGCAAUAAUCUCGGGCACCCUUUGAGCUUGGAAACUGAUAUUUGGACACGACAGUGACCAAGUGAUUUGGCUAUAAAGGGUGUUUUUGAUGAAUCAAUUAAUUAUUCAUUUUUCGAUUAAUUAUUUAAUUUUCAGGAGCCAAUUUUUCCAAAACUUACAGAUUCGGAUGAAACGGUGGCGGUUUCGGUAUACUAUUCGGCAAUUGAUUGAGAAAUCAAUUAUUUUAUGAUUAUCAUUUAUUUAUUUUAAUUAUACAAUUAAUUAUUGUACACCGCUCCCUCCCAAUUCCAUCUCCAUGUGCUGCAUGUCAGCAUUGCCAGGCACCCCGGAAAUGUUGCGUGCUGGAGGAUUGUUAUUUAUUUAUUUGACGGGGGUGGUGUACUUUGAAUGUAUCUCUACUUGUGUAGUUUAUGUCUAACAAGACAAAGUAUAAUUAACAUUAUUAAAGGAAAUAGUGUACAGAAAUCUGUAGUACACACAGGAAUUAUCGAGCGAGAACGAGUUUGCAUCCUCUCAGUUGGCCCCAAACAAGCAUGCACAGACUUUCAUAAAAACCAAGAAGCAACAAUGAAACUGACAGCACGUGUCCUUUGAAAAGAGUCGGUGAGCUUGCGCCGGCACCCGAUCUUAAUGACAAAUUCCUUUUGUAACCUACAGGGGGCACUGCAUCAGUGGCAUCACUGCCCCUACCAGAACAGAUGGUUUAAGGGAAGGAGGCAGGGUUAUGAGCAAAGGCGGGCGGUCAGUAAGAAUGAUCUGAAUGUGGUGUGAAGGAAGUACAAGAAUAUGUUUUUUCAAAAGCUCAUCUCAUUUGCAAUGUAUUCCUGGUUUGGGAAGUGGUUUCUAAUAAUCCUGGAGAACUCCUUGAAGGAUUCCAUCAUAGCCAUCGUCAUGCUGGCUCUUUCACCCGGCACCGAGUGACCAAAAUUGAACUGGGUUAGCCUUCUCAAACUAGCGAUGAAUCCUUUGCUUUUGGCAGAGAAAGAAUGUUAAAAAAAAC